This 703-nucleotide ribosomal RNA is filed under the name Chryseobacterium gleum. Its description in RNAcentral is "bacterial SSU rRNA". It matches the Rfam family "Bacterial small subunit ribosomal RNA", at positions 626 to 1336 of the family's 1533-position model. The record is from RNAcentral. Lineage: Bacteria; Pseudomonadati; Bacteroidota; Flavobacteriia; Flavobacteriales; Weeksellaceae.
AUUGAUACUGCAAGUCUUGAGUGUUGUUGAAGUAGCUGGAAUAAGUAGUGUAGCGGUGAAAUGCAUAGAUAUUACUUAGAACACCAAUUGCGAAGGCAGGUUACUAAGCAACAACUGACGCUGAUGGACGAAAGCGUGGGGAGCGAACAGGAUUAGAUACCCUGGUAGUCCACGCCGUAAACGAUGCUAACUCGUUUUUGGGCUUUUGGGUUCAGAGACUAAGCGAAAGUGAUAAGUUAGCCACCUGGGGAGUACGAACGCAAGUUUGAAACUCAAAGGAAUUGACGGGGGCCCGCACAAGCGGUGGAUUAUGUGGUUUAAUUCGAUGAUACGCGAGGAACCUUACCAAGGCUUAAAUGGGAAAUGACAGGCUUAGAAAUAGGCUUUUCUUCGGACAUUUUUCAAGGUGCUGCAUGGUUGUCGUCAGCUCGUGCCGUGAGGUGUUAGGUUAAGUCCUGCAACGAGCGCAACCCCUGUCACUAGUUGCCAUCAUUAAGUUGGGGACUCUAGUGAGACUGCCUACGCAAGUAGAGAGGAAGGUGGGGAUGACGUCAAAUCAUCACGGCCCUUACGCCUUGGGCCACACACGUAAUACAAUGGCCGGUACAGAGGGCAGCUACACUGCGAAGUGAUGCAAAUCUCGAAAGCCGGUCUCAGUUCGGAUUGGAGUCUGCAACUCGACUCUAUGAAGCUGGAAUUCGCU